CCCUUAGAUGUUCUGGGCGGCCCGCGCACUACAAUGGCGUGUGCAGCGAGUGCCGAAGUAGAGUUUUCCGAGGUAUUCUUGCAAUGCUCAUUUUGAUGGGGAUAGACCCUUGCAACUGUUGGUUUUGAACGAGGAAUUCCUUGUAAGCAUGGUUUAUCAUCCGACGCUGAAUGCGUCCCUGCCCUUUGUACACACCGCCCGUCGCUCCUACCGAUGAGUCGUCCGGUGAAGUUCGUAGACCUCGUGAUCGCGGAUCACUGGGGGAAGCAAAAUGAACCUCGCGGUUUAGAGGAAGGAGAAGUCGUAACA
RNAcentral lists this ribosomal RNA (309 nucleotides) under uncultured eukaryote. RNAcentral's name for it is "partial 18S ribosomal RNA". It matches the Rfam family "Eukaryotic small subunit ribosomal RNA", at positions 1470 to 1796 of the family's 1831-position model. The record is from RNAcentral.